Carassius carassius (crucian carp) is the source of this 255-nucleotide long non-coding RNA. RefSeq lists it as uncharacterized. Lineage: Eukaryota; Metazoa; Chordata; Actinopteri; Cypriniformes; Cyprinidae. The record is from RefSeq and is a predicted model, not a curated record. The transcript is spliced from 3 exons.
CUGCUGCCCUCCAGAGGCUGUGAAGAGUUGCAGCAGACUUCAGCUUCAGUGUUGUGUGGAGGAAACUACAUUUAUUCACAGCAACAACAUGAAGAUCAUUCAGCUUCAGCUCUAUGUAUUAAUCUGUUGUCAGUAUGCAGUGUCAGAGCUAUUAACUGAUCUGGGAUCAAAUGUGAUCAUAAACUGUGAUCUUGAUGAAACUGAGGUUUAUUGGAUUUUACUGAAAGCAGCAGAUCCUCCAACAGUCAUUCUACG